RNAcentral lists this ribosomal RNA (811 nucleotides) under uncultured bacterium. Its description in RNAcentral is "bacterial SSU rRNA". It matches the Rfam family "Bacterial small subunit ribosomal RNA", at positions 58 to 916 of the family's 1533-position model. The record is from RNAcentral.
CAAGUCGAACGGACCCUUCGGGGUUAGUGGCGGACGGGUGAGUAACACGUGGGAACGUGCCUUUAGGUUCGGAAUAGCUCCUGGAAACGGGUGGUAAUGCCGAAUGUGCCCUUCGGGGGAAAGAUUUAUCGCCUUUAGAGCGGCCCGCGUCUGAUUAGCUUGUUGGUGAGGUAAUGGCUCACCAAGGCUACGAUCAGUAGCUGGUCUGAGAGGAUGACCAGCCACAUUGGGACUGAGACACGGCCCAAACUCCUACGGGAGGCAGCAGUGGGGAAUCUUGCGCAAUGGGCGAAAGCCUGACGCAGCCAUGCCGCGUGUAUGAUGAAGGUCUUAGGAUUGUAAAAUACUUUCACCGGUGAAGAUAAUGACUGUAGCCGGAGAAGAAGCCCCGGCUAACUUCGUGCCAGCAGCCGCGGUAAUACGAAGGGGGCUAGCGUUGCUCGGAAUUACUGGGCGUAAAGGGAGCGUAGGCGGACAUUUAAGUCAGAGGUGAAAUCCCGGAGCUUAACUUCGGAACUGCCUUUGAUACUGGGUGUCUUGAGUGUGAGAGAGGUAUGUGGAACUCCGAGUGUAGAGGUGAAAUUCGUAGAUAUUCGGAAGAACACCAGUGGCGAAGGCGACAUACUGGCUCAUUACUGACGCUGAGGCUCGAAAGCGUGGGGAGCAAACAGGAUUAGAUACCCUGGUAGUCCACGCCGUAAACGAUGAUUGCUAGUUGUCGGGAAGCUUGCUUCUCGGUGACGCAGCUAACGCAUUAAGCAAUCCGCCUGGGGAGUACGGUCGCAAGAUUAAAACUCAAAGGAAUUGACGG